GACGAACGCUGGCGGCGUGCUUAACACAUGCAAGUCGAACGGAAAGGCCCUGCUUUUGUGGGGUGCUCGAGUGGCGAACGGGUGAGUAACACGUGAGUAACCUGCCCUUGACUUUGGGAUAACUUCAGGAAACUGGGGCUAAUACCGGAUAGGAGCUCCUGCUGCAUGGUGGGGGUUGGAAAGUUUCGGCGGUUGGGGAUGGACUCGCGGCUUAUCAGCUUGUUGGUGGGGUAGUGGCUUACCAAGGCUUUGACGGGUAGCCGGCCUGAGAGGGUGACCGGCCACAUUGGGACUGAGAUACGGCCCAGACUCCUACGGGAGGCAGCAGUGGGGAAUAUUGCACAAUGGGCGGAAGGCUGAUGCAGCAACGCCGCGUGCGGGAUGACGGCCUUCGGGUUGUAAACCGCUUUCGCCUGUGACGAAGCGUGAGUGACGGUAAUGGGUAAAGAAGCACCGGCUAACUGUG
This 466-nucleotide ribosomal RNA is filed under the name uncultured bacterium. Its description in RNAcentral is "partial 16S ribosomal RNA". It matches the Rfam family "Bacterial small subunit ribosomal RNA", at positions 28 to 505 of the family's 1533-position model. The record is from RNAcentral.